ACAUAAGCGCUUGGCCCAUGUAUUAAUUUAUGUGGCUCUCCACGAUCAUCAUUGUUGAAUGCACAUCAUUUCCAUAUGAUGCCCAUGGAUCAUUACAUGGCUAACUGGUAGGAUCCCUGUGUGGGUUGCACGCUGAUUGAACUAGAUCUUUUGAGAAGGGUUCGAGUGAGAGCAUGCUUGUCAGGACUUAAAAGAUGGUGAACUAUGCCUAAGUGUGGUGAAGCCAUAGAUAACUCUGGUGGAGGCCAUUUGCGAUACUAAUGCGCAAAUCAUUCAUCUGACUUGGGUAUAGGGGUGAAAGACUAAUCGAACCAUCUAGUAGUUGGUUCCCUUCGAUGUUUUCCUCAAGAUAACUGGAGCCCAGCCCCCAGGUGUGAGUUCUGUAGGGUAAAGCCAAUGAUUAAAGGCAUUGGGGGCGCAUCGCCCUCAACCUAUUCUCAAACUUUAAAUAGGUAGGAUGGUGUACUUGCUCUGUUGAGUUGUGCCACGGAAUCGAGAGCUCCAAGUGGCCAUUUUUGGUAAGCAGAACUGACAACGUGGGAUGAACCGAAAGCCGGGUUAUGGUGCCCAAUUGCACACUAACCUAGAAUCUACAAAGGGUGUUGGUCGAUUAAGACAAUAGGAUAGUGGUGAUGGAAGUCAAAAUCCACUAAGGAGUGUGUAAUAAUUCACCUACCAAAUCAACUAGCCCCAAAAAUGGAUGGAGUUGAAGCAUGCGACCCAUACCCAAUCGUCGGGGUGAUAGCUAGGCCCCAAUUAGUAGGAGGGCAUGAUAGUCUUUGUAAAUCCCAGGCUGUGAGCCUAGGUGGAGCGACCAUCAAUGUAGAUCUCGGUGGUAGUAGUAAAUAUUCAAAUAAGAAAUUUGAAGGCCAAAGAGAGAAAAUGUUCCAUGUGAAUGGCACUUGUAGACAUUCUAAAAUGGAUAAAUUCCAAAAUAGUCACAAUCUCCAAAUAUCAAACAAGUC
This 965-nucleotide non-coding RNA is filed under the name Nelumbo nucifera (sacred lotus). RNAcentral describes it as "Eukaryotic large subunit ribosomal RNA". It matches the Rfam family "Eukaryotic large subunit ribosomal RNA", at positions 714 to 1585 of the family's 3401-position model. Lineage: Eukaryota; Viridiplantae; Streptophyta; Magnoliopsida; Proteales; Nelumbonaceae. The record is from Rfam by way of RNAcentral.